GAAUGGCAGAAUCAGAUUUGUAUUUCUAAAAAGUCCUUCUGGGCUGCUUCUCUGUGUAGAAUGAGUUGAAACGAAUCAUGAAUGGAAAUGAGACUUUCAAUUAAGAGGUCAUUGCAUUGGGCAAAGCGUGACUGUGACUUUGACUGGGACAGUGGUAGCAACGACAGAGCAGGGACUGGAAGGGUGUGAAAGACAGCUGCCAGAUGGACGCAGCAGGAUCCGAAGCUGCCUGCGAUGUGGUGGGAUCAUAGCUUUCAGGAACACUCUCUUUCUAGAGGAACUUUCCUAAAUGCAACUCCCUUUCUCAGUGACAGACAAAAAGCUGAAAAGAAAAAGAAAUUGAGUUUGACCCUACUCUCCAGCCCAUUGGCUCCCGUGGAGCCCAGGCCAUGCCACGCACACUUCUGGCAUUAGAAAUGGCUUUGCCCAGAAAAGCCACAUUGACACCACUCGAGCCUGGAGCCUCUGUCAUCAGUGUGGCUUGUCCAUUUCGGUCUCCUUUGUGCCAGCCUCUACAGAGGGUUACAUUCUAUCGCCUUCCCAGGAAACCGAGGAAGCCUGUGUGAAGAGUAGAGGGUGGGGGACCAUGCAGUCAGGUGUUCCCUCACUUGGGCAUCUCUUCCGUCCUGCUCUCCGGCAGCCACAGGGGCAGGUGUCCCCCCACACCAGCGGCCUGUUUUCCGGGGAGGCGCUCUCUGGUUCGGGAUCUUGGGCCCAAUGACGUCCACAUCAAGGGCUAAUGAGCUAGUCAUCGUUUGUGCAUUAACUCGCCCUUCGAGGGAUUUUGAGUUGGUCGACCUCCUCAAAAAUAGAUGUUUACACAUUUUGGUAAUAUCGGUCAUACCAAGACCCGCUGGAUAUGUAUUAAUUAACCUACCACUGCCUGAUGAAUCGCUGAACUUGAUGACCAUGUACCAGCUCUACCAAGGUAACUUUUGCCUCAUUGGUAUGAAGUUAGAAUCUAACUCUGGUCAAAAAACUCAUGAAAUGAAACCAAAGGACUCCGAUAUGCAUCCUUAUAGGGUUGUUAGGGAUGUGUCCCUUCAUCAGACUUAUUCCUUCUCAUUCUCGUAGCAUCUUUGUUCUAGAACCUUCAAAAUAUGUAUUUUGAGAUGCCGUUCAACUGCCAUAUUCUCUACGAUGCUCUUCCUGAGGACAGAAUUACCACCCACCCACCCACCCAUAUUUCCAUAGCUUUUCAUAGUGACUUUACCACAGCUGUGGUGGGAGGCUGGUGGGGGAGAGGUGGGUACAGGUGUCAAGGCAAGAAAGGUGAGGUCUCUGAUUCUACCUGAUCCCUCAGGCAGGAUUCUCAGGAUGGAAGUCACCACACGCCAGGUCUGCACCUCACCACUCCUCAAAGGUGACCUGUUAGUUUGUGACAGACUCUUGCUUAUUAAAUGUAGCAGGAUAAAAUAUUUAACCCAUUGCUCUGUAUAAAUAUUUUCUGAAACCAGUCUAAACUUCCUGUGGAGCCUCUCUAUCCCACUGAGUAGAGGGGAGGAAAAUAAAGUUAUU
Long non-coding RNA from Phyllostomus discolor (pale spear-nosed bat), 1518 nucleotides. RefSeq lists it as uncharacterized. NCBI's taxonomy places the organism in Eukaryota, Metazoa, Chordata, Mammalia, Chiroptera, Phyllostomidae. The transcript has 2 exons. The record is from RefSeq and is a predicted model, not a curated record.